Lycium ferocissimum is the source of this 193-nucleotide long non-coding RNA. RefSeq lists it as uncharacterized. NCBI's taxonomy places the organism in Eukaryota, Viridiplantae, Streptophyta, Magnoliopsida, Solanales, Solanaceae. The record is from RefSeq and is a predicted model, not a curated record. The transcript is spliced from 2 exons.
UUCACUAUCGUCAUAUAUGCUCCUCCUUAUCCCAAUCCAAUGAUCAUCUUUAUACAACAAACGUAAUCCAUACUCCUUCAUUUCUCCAGAGAAAGAUAACCUAAUAAGCCCAUAGUCAUUUGGUGUUUUACCAUUUGCCUUUGAUGUAUCCCAUAAGCCAGCAAAAGGUACCAAGAAAAAAUGAAUAGCAGAU